This 335-nucleotide unclassified non-coding RNA is filed under the name plant metagenome. Its description in RNAcentral is "partial contains 5.8S ribosomal RNA, internal transcribed spacer 2, and large subunit ribosomal RNA". The stretch from base 1 to 105 matches the Rfam family "5.8S ribosomal RNA", at positions 50 to 154 of the family's 154-position model. The record is from RNAcentral.
GAAAUGCGAUAAGUAAUGUGAAUUGCAGAAUUCAGUGAAUCAUCGAAUCUUUGAACGCACAUUGCGCCCGGCAGCAAUCUGCCGGGCAUGCCUGUCCGAGCGUCAUUUCUUCCCUCGAGCGCGGUUCGGCCCCUAGCGGGCCUGCCGCCGCCCGGUGUUGGGGAUCUGCGGGCGUAGAGCCCGCAGGCCCUUAAAUGAAGUGGCGGUCCCGCCGCGGCGCCCCCUGCGUAGUAGUAAAGCACCUCGCAUCGGGUCCCGGCGUAGGCCAGCCGUCGAACCUAUUACUUUUGAUGGUUUGACCUCGGAUCAGGUAGGGAUACCCGCUGAACUUAAGC